RNAcentral lists this ribosomal RNA (119 nucleotides) under Pteropus alecto (black flying fox). RNAcentral also lists the same sequence under 1 other name. The record is from RNAcentral. Lineage: Eukaryota; Metazoa; Chordata; Mammalia; Chiroptera; Pteropodidae.
GUCUACAGCCAUGCUACCUUGAACAAGCCCGGUCCCAUCUGAUCUCAGAAGCUAAGCAGGGUUGGGCCUGGUGAGUACUUGGAUGGGAGACCACCUAGGAAGACUAGGUGCUGUAGGCA